This 206-nucleotide long non-coding RNA is filed under the name Elaeis guineensis (African oil palm). Its description in RNAcentral is "long non-coding RNA (EGUI_LNC002505)". The record is from RNAcentral. Lineage: Eukaryota; Viridiplantae; Streptophyta; Magnoliopsida; Arecales; Arecaceae.
AGGCCCCACUUGUAACAAUAUCUCUUUUCGAGGAACAGUCAAGGGUGUAUAGUUAUUGUACUGUCUAAAAGGUAAUGGUUGCCGAACCUUUCUUGGAGGACUACGGGAUCGACAAUUUCGAUCCCCAUUAUUCUGCCUUGGGGGUGGGGACUGAAAGCGCUGGCAUCUUUUCUCCUCUUGCCUUGGAUGGUGCUCCUUAUGGAUCC